This 234-nucleotide long non-coding RNA is filed under the name Phoenix dactylifera (date palm). RNAcentral describes it as "long non-coding RNA (PDAC_LNC004695)". Lineage: Eukaryota; Viridiplantae; Streptophyta; Magnoliopsida; Arecales; Arecaceae. The record is from RNAcentral.
UGAGGGUGAUAAUUAGCCGUGUUAAAAUUAUGUAGCUUUGCAAGUAGGAGCCUGUUUACUAACAUGUUGGGCUACAUGAAAGAUAGAUGGAGAUUUAUAGACAUCUAAUAGAGGAGACAUACUUUCUAUUGCUUGAGAGAAUAUUCUAAAUUACAUCUCUUAUGUGUUAGAUUGAAACCCGGCCUAUCAAUUUAGGAAAAUAUUUUAUCAAUAUUUUAAUAUAUAACAUGUAUA